GAUAAACGCUGGCGGCGCACAUAAGACAUGCAAGUCGAACGGAAGUCGUUUUAGUGAGUUUGAGAUGAAAGAUUUAUCCGGAUUCAAAGAUGAACUAAAACAAUGGCUUUAGUGGCGGACUGGUGAGUAACACGUAAGCAACCUGCCUGUUAGAGGGGAAUAACAGCGAGAAAUCGUUGCUAAUACCGCAUAUGCCAUAAGAACCGCAUGGUUCAAGUGGGAAAGGAGUAAUCCGCUAACAGAUGGGCUUGCGUCUGAUUAGUUAGUUGGUGGGGUAACGGCCGUACCAAGACCGCGAUCAGUAGCCGGACUGAGAGGUUCAACGGCCACAUUGGGACUGAGAUACGGCCCAGACUCCUACGGGAGGCAGCAGUCGGGAAUAUUGCGCAAUGGAGGAAACUCUGACGCAGUGACGCCGCGUAUAGGAAGAAGGUUUUCGGAUUGUAAACUAUUGUCUGCAGGGAAGAAACAAGACUGUACCUGCAAAGAAAGCUACCGGCU
Molecule: ribosomal RNA, 501 nt
Filed under: uncultured bacterium
Lineage: Bacteria
Description: bacterial SSU rRNA
Rfam family: Bacterial small subunit ribosomal RNA
Source: RNAcentral